UACGUAGGGGGCGAGCGUUGUCCGGAUUUACUGGGCGUAAAGGGUGAGUAGGCGGUUGUAUAUGUCAGGUGUGAAAGGCUAUGGCUUAACCAUGGUUAGCACUUGAAACUGUACAACUUGAGUGCAGGAGAGGUAAGUGGAAUUCCUAGUGUAGCGGUGAAAUGCGUAGAUAUUAGGAGGAACACCAGUGGCGAAGGCGACUUACUGGACUGUAACUGACGCUGAGUCACGAAAGCGUGGGUAGCAAACAGGAUUAGAUACCCCGGUAGUCCCU
Molecule: ribosomal RNA, 274 nt
Filed under: uncultured prokaryote
Description: partial 16S ribosomal RNA
Rfam family: Bacterial small subunit ribosomal RNA
Source: RNAcentral